AAUCAACGCUGGCGGCGUGCCUCAGACACGCAAGUCGAACGCUGCUGUUCGCCUUCGGGUGGACAGCGGAGUGGCGCACGGGUGAGUAACACGUAGGUAAUCUACCUUUGGGUGGGGAAUAACAGCCGGAAACGGCUGCUAAUACCGCAUAAUGCAGCGGCAUCACAUGAUGACAGUUGUUAAAGCGAGGGAUCGUAAGGCCUCGCGCCUGAAGAGGAGCCUGCGGCAGAUUAGGUAGUUGGUGAGGUAAUGGCUCACCAAGCCUGCGAUCUGUAACCGGCCUGAGAGGGCGGUCGGUCACACUGACACUGACAUACGGGUCAGACUCC
Molecule: ribosomal RNA, 329 nt
Filed under: uncultured bacterium
Lineage: Bacteria
Description: bacterial SSU rRNA
Rfam family: Bacterial small subunit ribosomal RNA
Source: RNAcentral